RNAcentral lists this ribosomal RNA (427 nucleotides) under uncultured bacterium. Its description in RNAcentral is "partial 16S ribosomal RNA". It matches the Rfam family "Bacterial small subunit ribosomal RNA", at positions 355 to 774 of the family's 1533-position model. The record is from RNAcentral.
UGGGGAAUAUUGGACAAUGGGCGAAAGCCUGAUCCAGCCAUGCCGCGUGUGUGAAGAAGGUCUUCGGAUUGUAAAGCACUUUAAGUUGGGAGGAAGGGCAUUAACCUAAUACGUUAGUGUUUUGACGUUACCGACAGAAUAAGCACCGGCUAACUCUGUGCCAGCAGCCGCGGUAAUACAGAGGGUGCAAGCGUUAAUCGGAAUUACUGGGCGUAAAGCGCGCGUAGGUGGGUUGGUAAGUUGGAUGUGAAAUCCCCGGGCUCAACCUGGGAACUGCAUUCAAAACUGACUGACUAGAGUAUGGUAGAGGGUGGUGGAAUUUCCUGUGUAGCGGUGAAAUGCGUAGAUAUAGGAAGGAACACCAGUGGCGAAGGCGACCACCUGGACUAAUACUGACACUGAGGUGCGAAAGCGUGGGGAGCAAACA